GUCGUUUGGACUACUAAAUGCCGUUCUUCUCUCUUGAGAUCACCUUGGAUUGGACAACAUCCAAAUGAGCAGGAUUGCUUUUGCUUUCAAAACGGUGAUACCUGGAGCACUGGUAUUCUUUGCUGGUUGAAUGCAAAUGGAAGCCGGAGGAAAAGGGAACCCUUGACUCCGUGUUCAUAUAGAUUGGCCUCCAGGGCAGACAGCUGAGUGGGGUUUAAUCUGGACUGGAUUGGAGGAAAGGAACUGGCACCAGAGUGGAGGCUGGAUGGAUGGUGGAACUGACACUGAAACAGAACACAGAAAACAGAAUCUAAUGCUAUUGCUCUGGCUGUAUCAAAUAAAAGUAUCAAGAGUGAGCAUCCCUGCCUUGCGCCGAAUCACAGAGGAAAACCUUUCAGUUUUUCUCCAUUGAUUAUGAUGUUAGCAGUGGGCUUUUCACAUGUGGGCUUUAUUGUGUUGAGGAGGGGGUCUGAUGGCCGGGAGGAUGGGAAGAAGGAACCCACGAUGAAGCAAAAGUCACAUUUAACUUUGUCCUCACCAUUCCUCUCCUGGGCCUGUCCUAAACAGGAAGCUGGGGGAGGAUGGAGUGCUGGAAUCCUGCAGAAGUCUCAUGGGAGGGCGCUUGGUGUUCACCACAGUGUAUACUGUUGCAUGACCA
Mandrillus leucophaeus (drill) is the source of this 658-nucleotide long non-coding RNA. RefSeq lists it as uncharacterized. The record is from RefSeq and is a predicted model, not a curated record. The transcript has 6 exons. Lineage: Eukaryota; Metazoa; Chordata; Mammalia; Primates; Cercopithecidae.